Long non-coding RNA from Bufo bufo (common toad), 154 nucleotides. RefSeq lists it as uncharacterized. The record is from RefSeq and is a predicted model, not a curated record. The transcript is spliced from 3 exons. NCBI's taxonomy places the organism in Eukaryota, Metazoa, Chordata, Amphibia, Anura, Bufonidae.
AUGGCCAGGUGUACACCAGAGUGCACCCGUCUAAUGGCAGUAAAAAACAGGUACACUAGUGCAAUAUGGCCUUGUAGGGGUUAAAAAAAACACUCACCUCAUCAACUUGCACAUGCAGAGGUAGUCGCUUCUCUCUUGAUUCUGAAGGACCUGC